This 465-nucleotide ribosomal RNA is filed under the name uncultured bacterium. RNAcentral's name for it is "bacterial SSU rRNA". It matches the Rfam family "Bacterial small subunit ribosomal RNA", at positions 28 to 491 of the family's 1533-position model. The record is from RNAcentral.
GAUGAACGCUGGCGGCGUGCUUAACACAUGCAAGUCGAACGAAGCACUUUAUUUGAUUUCCUUCGGGACUGAUUAUUUUGUGACUGAGUGGCGGACGGGUGAGUAACGCGUGGGUAACCUGCCUUGUACAGGGGGAUAACAGUUGGAAACGGCUGCUAAUACCGCAUAAGCGCACAGCAUCGCAUGAUGCAGUGUGAAAAACUCCGGUGGUGUAAGAUGGACCCGCGUUGGAUUAGCUAGUUGGUGAGGUAACGACCCACCAAGGCGACGAUCCAUAGCCGACCUGAGAGGGUGACCGGCCACAUUGGGACUGAGACACGGCCCAAACUCCUACGGGAGGCAGCAGUGGGGAAUAUUGCACAAUGGGCGAAAGCCUGAUGCAGCGACGCCGCGUGAGCGAAGAAGUAUUUCGGUAUGUAAAGCUCUAUCAGCAGGGAAGAUAAUGACGGUACCUGACUAAGAAGC